AAAAGAGAGGAGGAGCCAAAUUACCCUUGCACGAAAGAUGAUAUCAGCGAAGAUGCUUGUCCUGAGCGGCUGGAUGCAGAGCCCUUUCACAUUAAAGAGGAAGAGGAGAACAAAGAGGAAGAACAGCAGGUCCGA
Hippocampus comes (tiger tail seahorse) is the source of this 135-nucleotide long non-coding RNA. RefSeq lists it as uncharacterized. The record is from RefSeq and is a predicted model, not a curated record. The transcript is spliced from 2 exons. NCBI's taxonomy places the organism in Eukaryota, Metazoa, Chordata, Actinopteri, Syngnathiformes, Syngnathidae.